GAGUUUGAUCGUGGCUCAGAUUGAACGCUGGCGGCAUGCCUUACACAUGCAAGUCGAACGGCAGCACGGGAGAUUGCUCCUGGUGGCGAGUGGCGAACGGGUGAGUAAUGCAUCGGAACGUAUCCUGGAGUGGGGGAUAACGUAGCGAAAGUUACGCUAAUACCGCAUAUUCUGUGAGCAGGAAAGCGGGGGACCUUCGGGCCUCGCGCUCUUGGAGCGGCCGAUGUCGGAUUAGCUAGUUGGUGAGGUAAAGGCUCACCAAGGCGACGAUCCGUAGCAGGUCUGAGAGGAUGAUCUGCCACACUGGAACUGAGACACGGUCCAGACUCCUACGGGAGGCAGCAGUGGGGAAUUUUGGACAAUGGGGGCAACCCUGAUCCAGCCAUGCCGCGUGAGUGAAGAAGGCCUCGG
Molecule: ribosomal RNA, 411 nt
Filed under: bacterium enrichment culture clone ALO1_GLFRUDD03GSA3E
Lineage: Bacteria
Description: bacterial SSU rRNA
Rfam family: Bacterial small subunit ribosomal RNA
Source: RNAcentral